RNAcentral lists this ribosomal RNA (253 nucleotides) under uncultured bacterium. RNAcentral describes it as "partial 16S ribosomal RNA". It matches the Rfam family "Bacterial small subunit ribosomal RNA", at positions 524 to 776 of the family's 1533-position model. The record is from RNAcentral.
GACGGAGGAUGCAAGCGUUAUCCGGAAUGAUUGGGCGUAAAGCGUCCGCAGGUGGCAGUUCAAGUCUGCUGUCAAAGACCGGGGCUUAACUUCGGAAAGGCAGUGGAAACUGAACAGCUAGAGUAUGGUAGGGGCAGAGGGAAUUCCUGGUGUAGCGGUGAAAUGCGUAGAGAUCGGGAAGAACAUCGGUGGCGAAAGCGCUCUACUGGACCGCAACUGACACUCAGGGACGAAAGCUAGGGGAGCGAAUGGG